GACGAACGCUGGCGGCGUGCUUAACACAUGCAAGUCGAACGAUGAAGAAGAGAAACGCGAACUUCGGUUCAAAUUUCACUUCGGAUUAGUGGCAGACGGGUGAGUAACGCGUGAGCAACCUACCUCUUACAAAGGGAUAGCCUCGGGAAACCGUGAUUAAUACCAUAUGACACAUUCAUAAGGCAUCUUAAGAAUGUUAAAGCUACGGCGGUAAGAGAUGGGCUCGCGUCCCAUUAGCUAGUUGGUGAGGUAACGGCCCACCAAGGCGACGAUGGGUAACCGGCCUGAGAGGGUGAACGGUCACAUUGGAACUGAGACACGGUCCAAACUCCUACGGGAGGCAGCAGUGGGGAAUAUUGCACAAUGGAGGGAACUCUGAUGCGGCGACGCCGCGUGAGCGAUGAAGGAAUUCGUUUCGUAAAGCUCUGUUCUAUGGGAAGAAAAGGACUGUACCAUAGGAGAAAGCCCCGGCUAAAUACGUG
RNAcentral lists this ribosomal RNA (482 nucleotides) under uncultured bacterium. Its description in RNAcentral is "partial 16S ribosomal RNA". It matches the Rfam family "Bacterial small subunit ribosomal RNA", at positions 28 to 507 of the family's 1533-position model. The record is from RNAcentral.